This is a non-coding RNA of Cinara cedri, 525 nucleotides long. The record is from the annotation of a GenBank genome assembly. NCBI's taxonomy places the organism in Eukaryota, Metazoa, Arthropoda, Insecta, Hemiptera, Aphididae.
CACGAACAAUAAUUAUAGUUAAUAUUUAUUUCAGUUCAAAUUAACACAGUUUACGAUAGCAGAUACAUGAAUCGCAACUCUUUUGUUUUAUAUCCGUUACACGAAUAUUCGCGGGGUACCUAGUUAGGUAUUAAAAAUAAAAAUCAUCAGUCAGACUCGUUCGAUAUAGUGACAAUGUUUGUUCAGACAAUUUGGACGUCGCACGUGUAUUUAAAAUUGUUCGCAGCACUUAUUUACAAACAUGGCGGCCGAGUGUCGAGCGAAAACAAACGCGCGCAUAACACAUUAAUAAUAAUAAUAAUAAUAAUAAUACAAAUAAUGACAAAAUAAAAAUAUAACAUUAUUUAGAUACGAGAUACCUGUUGGCUAUUUGUUCGUGCGUGUGUUAUUAAUAAUUUUUAUUGUGUAUAACGUAGUGUAUUUCGCAUUGCACAAAAAACGUAAGGUCGGGGAAAAAUGUCAAACGACGUAGCCGACGUUUUUCUCUGGCUUAUCGGCCGCCCCGACCACCGACCGAGCGUUCAG